UCCAUCUAUCUUUUCCAUCCCACUAGAAAAAAAAAGGUGAAGAAAUAAACCAGCGACCCCUACCUAGCCGCCGCACCCCACCCCGCCCCUCCUCUUCCAUCUCGAUCCAAUCUUCCUCUUCCCUCACCAUGCCGCCGCCGCCCAGCCCUGGCGCGCAACGAGCUUGCUUGCUCGCACCGAUGUCGGCCACUCCACUCGCCGCCUGCUACCCUCGUCAUUGCAAUGUAUCCCUCUCUGCCCGCACAAAACGCCGAGCAGCCACGACGGUACCCACGCGCCUCGGCCAUGACAACCUCGAUAUCCAUGGCAAGGUGGCCGGCGGCUGGCGGAGGUCAGGUUGAGCAGCUGGGAUUUGGUGGCCGGUCGGCGAGGCACUGAAGGAGGAUGUCCCAGGCCUCAGGAGUUCGGAGGCGAGGUCAGGUGGCGGCACGACGAGCUAAUGGAAGGGGCGUGAGGGUGCAGACCUGGCCGGAGGAGGUCGGGCCAGAGCCGGGGGGCAUAGAGGGCAGCCGGUUCAUGGGGGGCCAGGCCUGGCAGGGUGGUUCGCGACCCAAGAUCGGCCACAGGCUAAGGCCGACGAGCGAGACACUUCCAUGGACCUUUGCUACUGCUAACAGUCUGUAUUGUACACUCCGACGUCCACAACCAAAUCAAGGACGGGAGUUUGCGAGGCACUGAAGCACGGCGCAAGGGCACCAUCUCCAUGGCCAACUCCGGGACCAAGGCGAUCGACAUUUUCUUGGCUGGUCCAUGGUGAUUGCUCCCAUGUCUCUGUUAUUUUUUGUUCUUUACAAAAUUUGCUUCUAUAAUAUCAUCAUUUAGUGAAUUUUACCUACCUACACGAGAUAUGACUGGCGCUUCCCUAGUCUCUAAGGUAAUGUAUCAAUUUGCUGCUUAGUUAGGAAGAGGAUGAAUCAUGUUGGAUUUGCAGCGAGAGGAAGCUUGUCGACUUGAUGAACAGGGUAAUGUUUACUGAGGGCGGCUCGGCAAGGAGGAGACCGGAUGUUUGUCGUUGACCUACUUUGGAAGUGAGCUUAUUUAUCUCAUCUGGUCGUUGUUUCCCCUUGAUUAACUUUAGAUGGGGAAGCUUGAUCUCAUAAUGUCCAUGGAGAUAAAGCGGCUCGGACAAAGCAAAGGAGAAAAUACAUGCCCAAAACUGUUGAUCCUGAUUUUCCGACAAUAAUCACUUCAUAUGAGAUGGCCAUGUUUGAUGCAAAAUUUUCUUGCUAAUUAUAAAUUGAAGUAUGUUGUUGUAGAUGAGGGGCAUCGGUUGAAAAAUGCAAAGUGCAAAUUAUUGAGGGAGUUGAGGCGCAUUUCAAUGGAUAACAAGCUCCUUUUGACUUGAACACCUCUUUAGAAUAAUCUAGCAGACUUGUCGUCGCUACUGAAUUUCAUUUUUCCUGAUAUAUUCUCAUCCCAUGACGAAUUUGAUUCAUGGUAUGAUUCAUUUCCUACCAUCUAAUCUGCAAUUUCUGUAUGUGUUUUUUUUUUCAUUUGUCUUAGAAUCCUUGAAUUAGUUUUGUUUUGCAGUAACUGGUUGCCGUCUCAUGCCUUUUGUUUGUGUUUUACAGUUUUAUGUUGUAGUUAUAUAUAAGUUACCUGGAUUAUCCAAUGUAACAUUUGUUUAGCUUUCAAAGGUUUAGCUUUCUCACUGCCUGGAUGUUGUACUGAUAGUCAAUAAAUAUAUGUAUCUAACUGCACAGAUAUGGCAUUUGUCAGGUCUCUUUAAAGUAUAGUGGUCCUUAAUUUGUUGAGAUAUCAGUUUCCUAGUAUAAGCCGAAUUGUAGUAACUUGGCUGGGGCACUACACAUUUAUUAAGAAUAUAUAAAUGGCUGGUCACAAUAGUGGCAUUGCAGGCUAGAACAAUUACAACCCCUCAUGGAUUAUUCUAAAAAAAACGAGGUACUACCAUCUUAUCUGCUUUUCAAAAAGGAAGAAUGCAUGAACCAUGGCAGAGGAGAAAGGACCUCAUGUUCCAGAGCAGCCAGUUGUGGUUAUACAGCUUUGUAUACGGGUGUUCUUUAUUGUAAAAUUGGGCUGUGUAAAUCAUAAGGAGCUUUAGUUGAUAUGAGUAUCUGCAAUGGCAGACAUAUGUUAUGACAUUUCGUCUUCUGAUUUAUGUUGUGUACCUGACACAGAUAUGCCAUGUCUGUCAAAUUGUGUAUUAGUUUUUAGUUGA
Triticum urartu is the source of this 2179-nucleotide long non-coding RNA. RefSeq lists it as uncharacterized. The record is from RefSeq and is a predicted model, not a curated record. Lineage: Eukaryota; Viridiplantae; Streptophyta; Magnoliopsida; Poales; Poaceae.